GCAAGUCGAACGUCCCAUGUAUUUAUAUAUGGGAAGUGGCAAACGGGGUAGUAACAGGUAGGAACAUACCCAUGAGUCAGGAAUAACUGCGAGAAAUCGUAGCUAAUACCUGAUAGUCCCUUCGGGGUAAAGAUUUAUCGCUCAUGGAAUGGCCUGCUUCGUAUCAGCUUGUUGGUAGUGUAAAGGACUACCAAGGCAAUGACGCGUAGGGGAGCUGAGAGGCUGACC
Molecule: ribosomal RNA, 228 nt
Filed under: uncultured bacterium
Lineage: Bacteria
Description: partial 16S ribosomal RNA
Rfam family: Bacterial small subunit ribosomal RNA
Source: RNAcentral